GGCGGACGGGUGAGUAACGCGUGGGAAUCUGCCCUGCAGUGGGGGACAACCCGAGGAAACUCGGGCUAAUACCGCAUACGUCUUACGAGAGAAAGGGGGCUUCGGCUCUCGCUGCAGGAUGAGCCCGCGUCCGAUUAGCUUGUUGGUAGGGUAACGGCCUACCAAGGCGACGAUCUGUAGCUGGUCUGAGAGGACGAACAGCCACACUGGGACUGAGACACGGCCCAGACUCCUACGGGAGGCAGCAGUGGGGAAUAUUGGACAAUGGGCGAAAGCCUGAUCCAGCAAUGCCGCGUGUGUGAAGAAGGCCUGCGGGUUGUAAAGCACUUUCAGUUGGGAAGAUGAUGACGUUACCAACAGAAGAAGCACCGGCUAAAUCCGUGCCAGCAGCCGCGGUAAUACGGAUGGUGCGAGCGUUAAUCGGAAUUACUGGGCGUAAAGCGCGC
This 446-nucleotide ribosomal RNA is filed under the name uncultured Gammaproteobacteria bacterium. Its description in RNAcentral is "bacterial SSU rRNA". It matches the Rfam family "Bacterial small subunit ribosomal RNA", at positions 97 to 570 of the family's 1533-position model. Lineage: Bacteria; Pseudomonadati; Pseudomonadota; Gammaproteobacteria. The record is from RNAcentral.